Molecule: RNA transcript, 4861 nt
Organism: Acinonyx jubatus (cheetah)
Lineage: Eukaryota; Metazoa; Chordata; Mammalia; Carnivora; Felidae
Gene: BAIAP2
Gene name: BAR/IMD domain containing adaptor protein 2
Exons: 16
Source: RefSeq, a predicted model, not a curated record
CGGGGUGCCGCGUUUCUGGUCCGGCUUCGCGCGCUGCCCGCCCGUUCCUGCCGCGCCCGCCUCCGUCGCCGCCGUCGCCCGUGCCCCCGCUCCGCUCCGCGGUGCCGCCGGACCAGCACCAUGUCGCUGUCGCGCACGGAGGAGAUGCACCGGCUCACGGAAAAUGUCUACAAGACCAUCAUGGAGCAGUUCAACCCCAGCCUUCGGAACUUCAUCGCCAUGGGGAAGAACUACGAGAAAGCCCUGGCAGGUGUGACCUACGCUGCUAAGGGCUAUUUUGAUGCCCUCGUGAAGAUGGGCGAGCUGGCCAGCGAGAGCCAGGGCUCCAAAGAACUCGGAGACGUUCUCUUUCAGAUGGCUGAAGUCCACAGGCAGAUUCAAAAUCAGUUGGAAGAAAUGCUGAAGUCUUUCCACAACGAGCUGCUCACACAGCUGGAGCAGAAGGUAGAGCUGGACUCCAGGUACCUGAGUGCUGCGUUGAAGAAAUACCAGACGGAGCAAAGGAGCAGGGGCGAUGCGCUGGACAAGUGCCAGGCCGAGCUGAAGAAGCUUCGCAAGAAGAGCCAAGGCAGCAAGAACCCGCAGAAGUACUCGGACAAGGAGCUGCAGUACAUUGACGCCAUCAGCAACAAGCAGGGCGAGCUGGAGAACUACGUGUCGGACGGCUACAAGACCGCGCUCACCGAGGAGAGAAGGAGGUUCUGCUUCCUGGUGGAGAAGCAGUGUGCCGUGGCCAAGAACUCCGCCGCCUACCACUCAAAGGGCAAGGAGCUGCUGGCACAGAAGCUGCCGCUGUGGCAACAGGCCUGCGCCGACCCCAACAAGAUCCCGGAGCGCGCGGUGCAGCUGAUGGCCAGCAGCAACGGCUCUGUCCUCCCCAGCGCCUUGUCGGCCUCCAAGUCCAGCCUGGUCAUCUCAGACCCCAUUCCGGGGGCCAAGCCUCUGCCGGUGCCCCCUGAGCUGGCCCCGUUUGUGGGGCGGCUGUCCGCCCAGGAGAGCGCGCCCGUCAUGAAUGGCGUCUCAGGCCCUGAUGGCGAGGACUACAGCCCCUGGGCCGACCGCAAGGCCGCCCAGCCUAAGGCCUCGUCCCCACCACAGUCACAGAGCAAGCUGAGCGACUCCUACUCCAACACGCUCCCCGUGCGCAAGAGCGUGACUCCGAAAAACAGCUACGCUGCCACUGAGACCAAGACGCUGCCCCGCUCCAGCUCCAUGGCAGCCGGCCUGGAGCGCAACGGCCGCAUGCGAGUGAAAGCCAUCUUCUCCCACGCGGCCGGGGACAACAGCACCCUGCUGAGCUUCAAGGAGGGCGACCUCAUCACCCUGCUAGUGCCCGAGGCCCGUGACGGCUGGCACUACGGGGAGAGCGAGAAGACAAAAAUGCGGGGCUGGUUUCCGUUCUCCUACACCCGGGUUCUGGACAGCGACGGCAGCGACAGGUUGCACAUGAGCCUGCAGCAGGGAAAGAGCAGCAGCACGGGCAACCUCCUGGACAAGGAGGAGCUGGCACUGCCACCGCCCGACUACGGCACGUCCUCGCGUGCCUUCCCUGCCCAGACGGCCGGCACCUUCAAGCAGAGGCCCUACAGCGUGGCUGUGCCUGCCUUCUCCCAGGGUCUAGACGACUACGGAGCGCGGGCUGUGAGCAGCGCCGAUGUGGAAGUGGCCAGGUUCUGAGCCGCCCCUGACUAGAGUUAGAUGCAGAGAGGCUUCCAUUUCCACCCCCCCCCCCCGAUGCCCCACCUCUGCCCCUGACGCCCCCAUCGCUCUGAGCUGCAGGCCUGGCCUCUGCCUGGGACCACGUCCCCCGGUGUAGGACGGGGCCCUGGGGGCACGGUGGGCAUCAGCACAGCGCCACCAGCCAGCUUCCCAGCCGCAGAAUCAGCCUGGCUCCAAGAUUCGACUGGGGGCAGGGUCCCAAAAGCCCCCUGGGUUGGUCAAAGCACCCUGACCAAGCCUGCCUGAGGUGUGGCCCUGGGGGAACCGAACGACAAGGAUCCGAUCCCAGAAGGGCCGAAGUCCUGAAGGCAUGGCAACCACUUUGGUCUCAGAGGAGGAAGUUCAGGAGGAAGUGGAAAUGCACCCCGGCCGCUCCCUCACUCUGCUCCAGGAUCACCGAAGGACGGAAACCCUACCCUGUAAGGAGACGCGGCUGUUCCCAGCUGACCAGGUUCUCGCUCAGUUGGUGGAUUCGGAACAAUUACAGGCGACUCCCUAAACCCUCGGCAUAGCGCUUCCCUCGAGAUUGGAACGGAAAGGCGCUCGGCCCUCCUUGGGCUGCAGGGUUUGCAGGCGGGGGCUGUGGGCUCAGGACCCCGCGAUGCCCCCAAAGGCUGCCCCUUGAAUGCAGCGCUGGACCUGCCGGGGGCUUCAGCCUGCCCUGCCUGCGGGAGGAGCCUGGACGGCUCCUGUGGCCUCUGCUCGGUUCCGUCCGCUGAGCUUGCUUACGUCUUGGUGGUUUGCCGCCGGGCGUCCACCCCUGGCAAGCACCCCAAGCAGGGACAAAUGUCCCCGGGGCCAGGCUCUGAACUUAGUCCGGUUUUGCCGUCUUGGUGUUGACCCGCCCAGGGUCGCACCGACACCCUCCCGUUCUUCACAGAAGGUGGGAGGCACCUUAGACAGCCCCACCCAGGGGCCUCUGGUCGGGGCUGGGCUGGGCGCGGCUGCAGGGGGAGGCCGGGGGCGUCUUCAGCCCGCAGUGUUGAUGGUGCGUGCUCCCCGCUCACCCUGUUUGGGGGAAGGUGAAGAAAGUGGGGCUCAGAGGCCAGACACCGUCUUGCGGGGAGGCCUGUCUGGCUGUGCUGCUGCCCCGACCCACCUGGCCUGAGCCCUCUGUACUGGCUCCAGCCAGCACAGGAGCUGCCCUCCCUCCCCGGGCUUAGGGCCUGAGCUCCGUCCUCGGCUCGGUCCCCAACUCCAGAUGAACAAGAUUGGCUGAGUUCCAGCCCCCCAGGGCAUCUGCCUUGACCCGGGCUGGGAACAGCCAAGGCCCGGAGCCUUCCUUCAGAACCAGAGUCUAGGCAAGGUGGCAGUCAGGGCACAGGCCACCGCCCUGUCCUGGGGGCUGAUGUCACUGGUCACAGGAGACUUGGCCUUGGGAGCUUCCAGGCGGCCAAAAAGCUGAAACUCGUCUGUACGCGUCAGCGGAACAGCGCGCCAGAGCGCGUGGAGGAGCCUGAGGCCCCACGUGGGGCUGCAAGCGGCCUCGAAGCCAGGGGUCGAUGACUCAGAGGACAGUCGUAAGCAGUGUGCCCACACGGGACUCUCAGCCAUCAUCCGGAGACGGAGACGGGGACCUCAUUCGCCAAGAAGUUAGCUAGUGUCUGCGGCUUCUCCUCUUAAAAGAAUCCCUUCGCCAACGUCCAGCUGAAGCCGACAGUGACCAACGACAGGUCCGCCCCCCUCCUCAGCUGAUGGCCAAGUCCCCACCGCUGCCCGCCAGGACCCUCCUGCCCUGCCCACGCACAGAACCUCUUUUGUAACAAUCUGCGUGGUCCCCGUUUAGAGAAUUUUCUCCUUCACCUGCCUGGCUCUGCCCCCACUGGAGUCUGGCCUGGGCUGGACCCCGGCUGUCUUCGGAGGUGGCCCCUGGGCCAUGGCUGAGGAGAGUGGGGCCGGCAGUGGCCCCCGCUCGUGCAGGGAGGGACGCUCCACCAGCCCCACGUGUCUGGUCAAUAAACAGGCUGCCCCACAUGUGCCCGCUCGUGCUCUGUCAGCCCCAGGGGGUGGGAGGCCUGGGACAGAGGACGUGGGAGAGGCUGCCACCAUCCUCACGGCACAGAUUUAUUCUGAGCCCUCGACUGUGGCUCUCCUGGGCCCCGCUCCCACUGGCAGUGCUGGGGGACCCCUCCAUGCCCCCCGCACUCCCGUCCAGAGCUGGCUGCUGGCCCCCAGCUCUCUUCCCUGUCGCUGGAGUGAACAGCAGGCCGCACGGCCAGGAACGCCCUCUGCGCCCCAGCUGCUUUGUGCAGAGAUCCACGUCGUUUAUAUCUGUGGCUGAACUACAGCGCAGUGACUGGCCUUGGGGCCAGGCACCCCCAGCUGACAAGUUCCAGGCAGCAGUCACCCCUCCCCGGCCCUUGAAGGAGGGAGGGCCCUGGAGCCCUGCUCUGCCCAAAGCCUGUCCCUACCCCUGUACCAGAAACAAAACGGGUCAUGGGUGGGACACAGGCCUCUGGCCCCGCAGAAGCUGGAGACGGGCCCAGUGGGGUCGUAGAGCCCAUGUUUGGGGUGGAGAAGCACAGAAGCCCAGGCUCCUCAGAAACCCUCUUACCUCACCCUUACCCUGCCCCCACCCCGUGCUCUGGAAAGGCCUUCGAAGGAGCUUCCCGUGGGGGAAGGGGCCUGCAGGCCCCCCACCUCGUUCUUACCUAGUCAGCACCAACUACAGAACAAGAAGGGAAGGCUGUUGGGGUCACUCCCCUCCCCUACUCUGUGCAGACCUCCACCGGAGGAGAGGUGGGGCCCAAGUCACUGUCCCCCUCCACCAGGGUGCAGCCAGGACGGCCCGGGGCAGGUGUGGGGCGGGGGGGGGGGGGCAGGUGGGUAGGUAGCACCCUCCCGCACCCCACUGGCAUUGGGCAGAAGGGACUACUGUGCCCUCCCAGGCAGAGCUGGCAGCCAGGCCCCACCCCAGCACCACCCCGCCUCCCCACCCCCGCCCAGGGAUUUAUGCGCAAACCCCAAAAGAAAACACACGCUUAGCAUGAAGGCUUGUUUUCUUAGCUUCAUUUCUUUUAAAAAACAAACAAAAAAGGAACAAGGAAAUCAUGGCACCAGCAUCCGAAGCCUCAGACUAAUGAAAACAAAAAACACAAACCCAAAACAAUUCCCCCACCCCCACCCCCAAAGCAACAGUAAA